Long non-coding RNA from Daphnia carinata, 1215 nucleotides. RefSeq lists it as uncharacterized. NCBI's taxonomy places the organism in Eukaryota, Metazoa, Arthropoda, Branchiopoda, Diplostraca, Daphniidae. The record is from RefSeq and is a predicted model, not a curated record. The transcript has 4 exons.
UUCUUUUUUUCUUAUAUAUUCCGGAACUGGGAAAAAAAAAAGAUUACGUUUCCGUUUGGCAAGUCACUCACACCCUACCAAAUUCUUUCUAUCUAUAUUGCCAUACGGCGAGAGAUCUGAAGAUGAUGAGACGACGAGCAGCUCCGUGAUUGAAAAGAUUCUUCCUAUGCUGGACUGUGUGCAGCAAAUAUUUGGAUUACGUCUUCGUGUCCAAUUGAUUGAACGUAGCGCGACAACUUGAGCUAAAAGUUUGGCCAACAACAGCCGUUUACCAUCUCCUCCUGAGGAAGUAGGGGUGAGAAAAUGGCAAGUGGCGUGAGUUGAAGAAGUAAAUGGUUGAAAGAGAGACGCGUGGUGUAGAUGGGCAUUCAUCGCUUUUCUAUCCACUUAGAUCCACAUCAGUAAGAUUCCUUGUUGUUGUCUGUGUAAAUUUACUCUUCCUGAAGCUCCCGCAUAUGCAUAUACGUAUUCCCCUCGAUAGAUUCUCCCUAUGUACCCAAGCUGCAUUUGCAGACUGUGGGAUCCGUUGCCCUGGCAACUCGUUCGACUGAUCGAUCGAUGGGAAACUCCAUUCCUCGGCUGGCUUUGAUGUGUGUUAAGAGGAAAACCCCCUUUUUUUCCCGAAACACACCAAACUGUGGACGAUGGAAGAGUGCGUUGCUCUGCGAGGUUUCGCCGGGGGCUUGCGACACUGAUUAAGAGUGAUGAAAAUGGACCAGAGGAUUGUGGUGGUUGGGGGUUCCAUCAGGAGUGAUCAUUAUUAGGGCAGCUGAUGGAUCGCUCUUGGUGAUCUUAAUUGCUAAUACGAGAACAAAAAAGAUUGGCCUCUGCUGACAUGAUUUUUCUUUCGUGAAUUGUUGCUGCAGACGAUAGACAUGCGUCCAGCAGGAAAGACCAAUGGGGGGGGGGGGGGGGGCAGAGUUGUAUGGUGUCUGUGUCUUUCCAUCGGCAAGACAGGAAUAACAAUACGCCCUGUGAUGGACCGAUAUUGACUUUGUGUCCCUAACCGAAGGAGGGUACGGCGCUUAACUUGAUUGGCUCGUGUGUCAGCUGACCGGAGAGAUGAGGAACCUGCUGGAUUUCUCUUGGCGUUACGAGCUCAGUGCCGGCCGGAAUAAGUAAAAUGGAAGAUGUGAUAGGAAUGGAAACAACAAGAGACCAACAAACAAAAAUGGAGAGAUGAUAACCAACGAAGAAAUAGCAAAACAAGACAAG